This 1386-nucleotide ribosomal RNA is filed under the name Salmonella enterica. RNAcentral's name for it is "partial 23S ribosomal RNA". It matches the Rfam family "Bacterial large subunit ribosomal RNA", at positions 392 to 1773 of the family's 2925-position model. Lineage: Bacteria; Pseudomonadati; Pseudomonadota; Gammaproteobacteria; Enterobacterales; Enterobacteriaceae. The record is from RNAcentral.
AUGUGCUGUGAGCUCGAUGAGUAGGGCGGGACACGUGGUAUCCUGUCUGAAUAUGGGGGGACCAUCCUCCAAGGCUAAAUACUCCUGACUGACCGAUAGUGAACCAGUACCGUGAGGGAAAGGCGAAAAGAACCCCGGCGAGGGGAGUGAAAAAGAACCUGAAACCGUGUACGUACAAGCAGUGGGAGCACCCUUUGGGGUGUGACUGCGUACCUUUUGUAUAAUGGGUCAGCGACUUAUAUUCUGUAGCAAGGUUAACCGAAUAGGGGAGCCGGAGGGAAACCGAGUCUUAAUUGGGCGUUAAGUUGCAGGGUAUAGACCCGAAACCCGGUGAUCUAGCCAUGGGCAGGUUGAAGGUUGGGUAACACUAACUGGAGGACCGAACCGACUAAUGUUGAAAAAUUAGCGGAUGACCUGUGGCUGGGGGUGAAAGGCCAAUCAAACCGGGAGAUAGCUGGUUCUCCCCGAAAGCUAUUUAGGUAGCGCCUCGUGAAUUCAUCUCCGGGGGUAGAGCACUGUUUCGGCUAGGGGGUCAUCCCGACUUACCAACCCGAUGCAAACUGCGAAUACCGGAGAAUGUUAUCACGGGAGACACACGGCGGGUGCUAACGUCCGUCGUGAAGAGGGAAACAACCCAGACCGCCAGCUAAGGUCCCAAAGUCAUGGUUAAGUGGGAAACGAUGUGGGAAGGCCCAGACAGCCAGGAUGUUGGCUUAGAAGCAGCCAUCAUUUAAAGAAAGCGUAAUAGCUCACUGGUCGAGUCGGCCUGCGCGGAAGAUGUAACGGGGCUAAACCAUGCACCGAAGCUGCGGCAGCGACACUCAGGUGUUGUUGGGUAGGGGAGCGUUCUGUAAGCCUGUGAAGGUGGCCUGUGAGGGUUGCUGGAGGUAUCAGAAGUGCGAAUGCUGACAUAAGUAACGAUAAAGCGGGUGAAAAGCCCGCUCGCCGGAAGACCAAGGGUUCCUGUCCAACGUUAAUCGGGGCAGGGUGAGUCGACCCCUAAGGCGAGGCCGAAAGGCGUAGUCGAUGGGAAACGGGUUAAUAUUCCCGUACUUGGUGUUACUGCGAAGGGGGGACGGAGAAGGCUAUGUUGGCCGGGCGACGGUUGUCCCGGUUUAAGCGUGUAGGUGUGUGUUCCAGGUAAAUCCGGUUCACUUUAACACUGAGGCGUGAUGACGAGGCACUACGGUGCUGAAGCAACAAAUGCCCUGCUUCCAGGAAAAGCCUCUAAGCAUCAGGUAACAUCAAAUCGUACCCCAAACCGACACAGGUGGUCAGGUAGAGAAUACCAAGGCGCUUGAGAGAACUCGGGUGAAGGAACUAGGCAAAAUGGUGCCGUAACUUCGGGAGAAGGCACGCUGACACGUAGGUGAAGUGAUUUACUCA